Molecule: ribosomal RNA, 795 nt
Filed under: uncultured bacterium
Lineage: Bacteria
Description: bacterial SSU rRNA
Rfam family: Bacterial small subunit ribosomal RNA
Source: RNAcentral
GGCGGGCCCCCCCGGACACGNNANCUGACCACUCACAUACGAAAAGNGNGGGGAGCAAACACGGANUUAGAUAACCCUGGUAGUUCCACGCCGUNAACGAUGUCUACUUGGAGGGUUGUGGCCCUUGAGCCGUGGCUUUCGGAGCUAACGCGUUAAGUAGGACCGCCUGGGGAGUACGGUCGCAAGAUUANAACUCAAAUGAAUUGACGGGGGCCCGCACAAGCGGUGGAGCAUGUGGUUUAAUUCGAUGCAACGCGAAGAACCUUACCUACUCUUGACAUCUACAGAAGCCAGCGGAGACGCAGGUGUGCCUUCGGGAACUGUAAGACAGGUGCUGCAUGGCUGUCGUCAGCUCGUGUUGUGAAAUGUUGGGUUAAGUCCCGCAACGAGCGCAACCCUUAUCCUUGUUUGCCAGCACUUCGGGUGGGAACUCCAGGGAGACUGCCGGUGAUAAACCGGAGGAAGGUGGGGACGACGUCAAGUCAUCAUGGCCCUUACGAGUAGGGCUACACACGUGCUACAAUGGCGCAUACAGAGGGCGGCCAACUUGCGAAAGUGAGCGAAUCCCAAAAAGUGCGUCGUAGUCCGGAUUGGAGUCUGCAACUCGACUCCAUGAAGUCGGAAUCGCUAGUAAUCGUGGAUCAGAAUGCCACGGUGAAUACGUUCCCGGGCCUUGUACACACCGCCCGUCACACCAUGGGAGUGGGCUGCAAAAGAAGUGGGUAGUUUAACCUUCGGGAGGACGCUCACCACUUUGUGGUUCAUGACUGGGGUGAAGUCGUAACAAGGUAACCG